UACGUAGGGAGCAAGCGUUGUCCGGAAUCAUUGGGCGUAAAGCGCGCGUAGGCGGCCCUGUAAGUCCGUUGUGAAAGUCAAAGGCUCAACCUUUGAAAGCCGAUGGAUACUGCAGGGCUAGAGUCCGGAAGAGGUGAGUGGAAUUCCUGGUGUAGCGGUGGAAUGCGCAGAUAUCAGGAGGAACACCGGCGGUGUAGACGGCUUGCUAGACCACCCCUGACGCUGAGGCACGAAAGCGUGGGUAGCAAACAGG
Molecule: ribosomal RNA, 253 nt
Filed under: uncultured bacterium
Lineage: Bacteria
Description: partial 16S ribosomal RNA
Rfam family: Bacterial small subunit ribosomal RNA
Source: RNAcentral